UACGGAGGGCGCGAGCGUCAAUCGGAAUUACUGGGCGUAAAGCGCGCGUAGGCUGUUGUGUAAGUUGGGGGUGAAAUCCCACGGCUCAACCGUGGAACAGCCCUUGAUACUGCGCGACUUGAAUCCGGGAGAGGGUGGCGGAAUUCCAGGUGUAGGAGUGAAAUCAGUAGAUAUCUGGAGGAACAUCAGUGGCGAAGGCGGCCACCUGGACCGGUAUUGACGCUGAGGCGCGAAAGCGUGGGGAGCAAACAGG
RNAcentral lists this ribosomal RNA (253 nucleotides) under uncultured bacterium. Its description in RNAcentral is "partial 16S ribosomal RNA". It matches the Rfam family "Bacterial small subunit ribosomal RNA", at positions 524 to 776 of the family's 1533-position model. The record is from RNAcentral.